CCCAGCGGUAGUCAGCUGUCUAGUGCCAUCUCAUGCCUAUGAUAGUGUUACACUGCUGGGAGAAAAAGGCACUGCUCUUCCAUACUGCAUGCUACAGUCACUGUUCUGGUGAUCUGUGGCACUAGUAUUAGGCAGUGCUGUGUUUCCUCGAGAGUGCGCUGAACUCUGCUACAUGCUGUUUAGUGCUAGUCUGGAAGCAUACAUA
Molecule: small nucleolar RNA, 205 nt
Organism: Pseudophryne corroboree (corroboree frog)
Lineage: Eukaryota; Metazoa; Chordata; Amphibia; Anura; Myobatrachidae
Product: small nucleolar RNA SNORA74
Exons: 1
Source: RefSeq, a predicted model, not a curated record